Bubalus bubalis (water buffalo) is the source of this 1004-nucleotide long non-coding RNA. RefSeq lists it as uncharacterized. Lineage: Eukaryota; Metazoa; Chordata; Mammalia; Artiodactyla; Bovidae. The record is from RefSeq and is a predicted model, not a curated record. The transcript is spliced from 2 exons.
CUGGGGAGACGGGCGGCGGCCGGGUUACCUGGGAGAGCCUGGGUUGGAAGAGAUGAGACCUUCUCUUCUCUCCCUAGUCCGGCAGCUUCGCUCUUCCCAGCACUUUGCAUUUAUUAAUUAACGCUUCCUGAAGUCUAGCAACAAGUGGGGGACAGAACCUGCCUCUGUCAGAAAGAGAAACUGAGGUCCCGAGGGUCUCCUCGCUUGGCACAAUGACUGGAAUUUGAGUUUCAUAGGGCCUUCCGACACAUGUGUUCCGUCCAGUCCCAGAAAUUGGCGUAAAAAUUAUCCAGCUUCACCUUGGAGAAUUUUGUAAAACAUUUAACACACAUUCCGUGUGUCUGGAAUGCGACUGGGGAAAAUAUGUAUUUUUCAGCGCCCGUCCCCCGAGGUGAUUCUGAUGUGGGUAGUGUUGGUACAAGAGCAACAUACAGGCAGUCACGUAUUAUUUCAAGUCCCUCGUGGCAAUGAAGUUCAAGUGCAACUGCCAUAAAUAAAGAUAAGCUAUUCUUUAUCCUCAAAAACAAAUAUGGUUGGGAGAUUCGCUAGUUUGGCUGGAGGUCGCCUACUGAGAAACUCAGGACAGUUCCCUGAGUGGGUCAUGCCAAGAACUGAGUCUGAAGGGCGCCGGGCUGGGCUAAAGCAACAAGGUAGUCUUGUUCUCUAACUCUCUAGACAAUGCUUAAAUACUUAAAUGGCAAAACACACCCUUCCUUGUUGCCAUCACCAGGCCCAGUCAUAACCCCAGGAAGGUGCCUGGAUUCCAACGCCAUCCAGCCCUGCCCAUUCUCCCAAACACAUGCCUCUCCUCCUCCCGGUGUCCCGGACAUCCAUCUGACCCAGAAGCCCCUGCCUGAAAAUGCAGAAACGGAAGCUCACAGAAGACUGGUAAUGUGUCCAAGGUCACAAGACUAGCUUAAGAAAGAGCCAGCCUUCAUGACCUCCUAACUGCCUGCUCCAGUGCCUGCCAAAGUGCCCUUCCUUCUUGCCAGAAACAGGACAGC